This 1805-nucleotide ribosomal RNA is filed under the name Cape St. Paul wilt phytoplasma. Its description in RNAcentral is "bacterial SSU rRNA". The stretch from base 1 to 1528 matches the Rfam family "Bacterial small subunit ribosomal RNA". Lineage: Bacteria; Bacillati; Mycoplasmatota; Mollicutes; Acholeplasmatales; Acholeplasmataceae. The record is from RNAcentral.
AAGAGUUUGAUCCUGGCUCAGGAUUAACGCUGGCGGCGUGCCUAAUACAUGCAAGUCGAACGGAAACCUUUCGGGGUUUUAGUGGCGAACGGGUGAGUAACACGUAAGUAACCUGCCUUUAAGACGAGAAUAACAAUUGGAAACAGUUGCUAAGGCUGGAUAGGAAAUAAUGAGGCAUCUCGUUAUUUUUAAAAGACCUUCGCAAGAAGGUAUGCUUAAAGAGGGGCUUGCGCCACAUUAGUUUGUUGGUAAGGUAACGGCUUACCAAGACGAUGAUGUGUAGCUGGACUGAGAGGUUGAACAGCCACAUUGGGACUGAGACACGGCCCAAACUCCUACGGGAGGCAGCAGUAGGGAAUUUUCGGCAAUGGAGGAAACUCUGACCGAGCAACGCCGCGUGAACGAUGAAGUAUUUCGGUAUGUAAAGUUCUUUUAUUAAAGAAGAAACGCUAGUGGAAAAACUAGUUUGACGUUAUUUAAUGAAUAAGCCCCGGCAAACUAUGUGCCAGCAGCCGCGGUAAUACAUAGGGGGCGAGCGUUAUCCGGAAUUAUUGGGCGUAAAGGGUGCGUAGGCGGUUUAGUAAGUCUCUAGUUUAAAUUCAACGCUUAACGUUGUCCUGCUAGAGAAACUACUAGACUAGAGUAAGAUAGAGGCAAGCGGAAUUCCAUGUGUAGCGGUAAAAUGUGUAAAUAUAUGGAGGAACACCAGAGGCGUAGGCGGCUUGCUGGGUCUUUACUGACGCUGAGGCACGAAAGCGUGGGGAGCAAACAGGAUUAGAUACCCUGGUAGUCCACGCCGUAAACGAUGAGUACUAAGUGUCGGGGGUUUCCUCGGUACUGAAGUUAACACAUUAAGUACUCCGCCUGAGUAGUACGUACGCAAGUAUGAAACUUAAAGGAAUUGACGGGAUCCCGCACAAGCGGUGGAUCAUGUUGUUUAAUUCGAAGAUACACGAAAAACCUUACCAGGUCUUGACAUUAUUCUGCGAAGCUAUAGAAAUAUAGUGGAGGUUAUCAGAAUAACAGGUGGUGCAUGGUUGUCGUCAGCUCGUGUCGUGAGAUGUUAGGUUAAGUCCUAAAACGAGCGCAACCCUUGUCGUUAGUUACCAGCACGUUAUGGUGGGGACUUUAGCGAGACUGCCAAUGAAAAAAUUGGAGGAAGGUGAGGAUUACGUCAAAUCAUCAUGCCCCUUAUGAUCUGGGCUACAAACGUGAUACAAUGGCUAUUACAAAGAGCAGCUGAAACGUGAGUUGUUAGCUAAUCUCAAAAAAAUAGUCUCAGUUCGGAUUGAAGUCUGCAACUCGACUUCAUGAAGUUGGAAUCGCUAGUAAUCGCGAAUCAGCAUGUCGCGGUGAAUACGUUCUCGGGGUUUGUACACACCGCCCGUCAAACCAUGAAAGUUGACAAUACCCAAAACCAGUCGCUUAACUACUUCGGUAGAGGGAGCUGUCUAAGGUAGGGUCGAUGAUUGGGGUUAAGUCGUAACAAGGUAUCCCUACCGGAAGGUGGGGAUGGAUCACCUCCUUUCUAAGGAAUUGUCGGAUCAUGAUCAUCUUCAGUUUUGAAAGACUUAGAGUAGAAUAAGUUUUUCUUUUGGCGUAGAGGAAGGGCCUAUAGCUCAGUUGGUAGAGCACACGCUUGAUAAGCGUGCGGUCAAUGGUUCAAGUCCAUUUAGGCCCACCAUACCAUAUUCCUCUUAUUCAAAAAGUUCUUUGAAAAGUAGAUAAACAAAGUCUCUAAUGACACACCAAUGAAGGAAAUAAGGGCGUACAGUGGAUGCCUUGGCACUAAGAGCCGAUGAAGG